AACUAACGCUAUAUAAGUAUCAGUUUCUGUACUUUAUUGGUAUGAGAAGCUUCCCGAAUCUUGAUUUUGGCAAAAUUUCGGGGUAGGGUUGUGCCCUACACU
RNAcentral lists this unclassified non-coding RNA (102 nucleotides) under Leptomonas neopamerae. Its description in RNAcentral is "trans-spliced leader sequence SL". The record is from RNAcentral. Lineage: Eukaryota; Euglenozoa; Kinetoplastea; Trypanosomatida; Trypanosomatidae.